This 415-nucleotide ribosomal RNA is filed under the name uncultured eukaryote. RNAcentral describes it as "SSU rRNA". It matches the Rfam family "Eukaryotic small subunit ribosomal RNA", at positions 743 to 1132 of the family's 1831-position model. The record is from RNAcentral.
AUUAUGUUGUUUCUUUGAGCAAAUUAUAGUGUUUCAGGCAGGCGUGCGCCGGAAUACAUUAGCAUGGUAUAAACGAAUUGGACCGUGUGCCCGUAACUGGGCUUCUCCUUAUUGUUGGUUUGAAGGACACGGAGAUGGUUAAUAGGGACAGCGUUUAUUUCACAAGGAGGCAUUAGUAUUUAAUUUCCAGAGGUGAAAUUCUUUGAAAUAUUAAAGACUAACUUAUGCGAAAGCAUCGUUUGCCAAUGAUGUUUUCAUUAAUCAUUGAACGAAAGUUAGGGGAUCAAAGACGAUCAGAUACCGUCCUAGUCUUAACCAUAAACGUUGCCGACUAGGGAUCGGAGGGCGUGCACAAUCCGCCUUCGGCACCUUACGAGAAAUCAAAGUCUUUUGGGUCUGUGGGUAGUAUGGUCGC